This 303-nucleotide ribosomal RNA is filed under the name uncultured bacterium. RNAcentral's name for it is "partial 16S ribosomal RNA". It matches the Rfam family "Bacterial small subunit ribosomal RNA", at positions 507 to 807 of the family's 1533-position model. The record is from RNAcentral.
AGCAGUAGCCGCGGUAAUACGUAGGGUGCAAGCGUUAAUCGGAAUUACUGGGCGUAAAGCGUGCGCAGGCGGUUAUAUAAGACAGAUGUGAAAUCCCCGGGCUCAACCUGGGAACUGCAUUUGUGACUGUAUAGCUAGAGUACGGCAGAGGGGGAUGGAAUUCCGCGUGUAGCAGUGAAAUGCGUAGAUAUGCGGAGGAACACCGAUGGCGAAGGCAAUCCCCUGGGCCUGUACUGACGCUCAUGCACGAAAGCGUGGGGAGCAAACAGGAUUAUAUACCCGUGUAGUCCCUGUCUCUUAUAC